CGGGUGAGUAAUACAUCGGAACGUGCCCAGUAGUGGGGGAUAACCCGGCGAAAGCCGGACUAAUACCGCAUACGACCUACGGGUGAAAGCAGGGGAUCGCAAGACCUUGCGCUAUCGGAGCGGCCGAUGUCAGAUUAGCUAGUUGGUGGGGUAAAAGCCUACCAAGGCGACGAUCUGUAGCUGGUCUGAGAGGACGACCAGCCACACUGGAACUGAGACACGGUCCAG
RNAcentral lists this ribosomal RNA (228 nucleotides) under uncultured bacterium. Its description in RNAcentral is "partial 16S ribosomal RNA". It matches the Rfam family "Bacterial small subunit ribosomal RNA", at positions 103 to 334 of the family's 1533-position model. The record is from RNAcentral.